GAAUAUUGGACAAUGGGCGAAAGCCUGAUCCAGCCAUGCCGCGUGUGUGAUGAAGGCCUUAGGGUUGUAAAGCACUUUUGUCCGGGAAGAUAAUGACUGUACCGGAAGAAUAAGCCCCGGCUAACUUCGUGCCCGCAGCCGCGGCAAUACGAAGGGGGCUAGCGUUGCUCGGAAUCACUGGGCGUAAAGGGCGCGUAGGCGGACUCUUAAGUCGGGGGUGAAAGCCCAGGGCUCAACCCUGGAAUUGCCUUCGAUACUGAGAGUCUUGAGUUCGGAAGAGGUUGGUGGAACUGCGAGUGUAGAGGUGAAAUUCGUAGAUAUUCGCAAGAACACCAGUGGCGAAGGCGGCCAACUGGUCCGAUACUGACGCUGAGGCGCGAAAGCGUGGGGAGCAAACAGG
Molecule: ribosomal RNA, 400 nt
Filed under: uncultured bacterium
Lineage: Bacteria
Description: bacterial SSU rRNA
Rfam family: Bacterial small subunit ribosomal RNA
Source: RNAcentral